CAGAGGUUACUGCUAUMGAGRYUCGACUAAGCCAUGCGAGUUGAAUGUUCUUCGUGAACAUGGCGGACUGCUCAGUAACACGUGGACAACCUACCCUUGGGUCCGGCAUAAUCCUGGGAAACUGGGAAUAAUUCCGGAUAGGUCACCGAUGCUGGAAUGCGCGGUGGCCGAAAGCUCCGGCGCCCGAGGAUGGGUCUGCGGCCUAUCAGGGUUGUAGUGGGUGUAACGUACCUACUAGCCUACGACGGGUACGGGUUGUGAGAGCAAGAGCCCGGAGAUGGAUUCUGAGACACGAAUCCAGGCCCUACGGGGUGCAGCAGGCGCGAAAACUUUACAAUGCGGGAAACCGUGAUAAGGGGAUCUCGAGUGCCAGCAUAUAAUGUUGGCUGUCCAGAUGCCUAAAAAGCAUCUGUUAGCAAGGGCCGGGCAAGACCGGUGCCAGCCGCCGCGGUAACACCGGCGGCCCGAGUGGUAACCGCUAUUAUUGGGUCUAAAGGGUCUGUAGCCGGCCAGGUAAGUCCCUUGGGAAAUCUGGCAGCUCAACUGUCAGGCUGCUAGGGGAUACUGUUUGGCUUGGGACCGGGAGAGGUGAGAGGUACCUUGGGGGUAGGGGUGAAAUCUUGUGAUCCUCGAGGGACCACCAGUGGCGAAGGCGUCUCACCAGAACGGGUCCGACGGUAAGGGACGAAAGCUAGGGGCACGAACCGGAUUAGAUACCCGGGUAGUCCUAGCCGUAAACGAUGCUCGCUAGGUGUCAGUCACGGUGCGACCGUGAUUGGUGCCGUAGGGAAGCCGUGAAGCGAGCCACCUGGGAAGUAUGGCCGCAAGGCUGAAACUUAAAGGAAUUGGCGGGGGAGCACUACAACGGGUGGAGCCUGCGGUUUAUUG
RNAcentral lists this ribosomal RNA (888 nucleotides) under uncultured Methanosaeta sp. RNAcentral's name for it is "bacterial SSU rRNA". It matches the Rfam family "Archaeal small subunit ribosomal RNA", at positions 18 to 907 of the family's 1478-position model. Lineage: Archaea; Methanobacteriati; Methanobacteriota; Methanomicrobia; Methanotrichales; Methanotrichaceae. The record is from RNAcentral.